RNAcentral lists this non-coding RNA (25 nucleotides) under Drosophila melanogaster (fruit fly). The record is from RNAcentral. Lineage: Eukaryota; Metazoa; Arthropoda; Insecta; Diptera; Drosophilidae.
UGCAACAGAGUUUCAGGUAGCGGGG